UAGUUCUUUCUUAAAUAUUCUAGCAAAGCCAAGUAAAUCUAAUUUUUAAGAAUUAUUCAAUAAAGGUACAGCUUUAUUGAAAAAGGAAACAACCUAAACCUUAGGAUAAUGAAUAUUUUUAAAUAGGUAAAAGGCCAAGUUGGCCUAAAAGCAGCCAUCUUUAAAGAUAGCGUCAAAGCUUCACCUUAAACACACCUUAAAUCUCAUUAUUUUUUCAUAAUCCAACAAUUCUACUAAGCCAUUCUAUACUUUUAUAGAAAAGUUUAUGUUAGGACUAGUAACACAGAAUAAUUUCUCUUACAUGUAAGUUUAAAUCAACCCGAAUACCUCCUUGAUAAUUACUCAAAUUUGAACCUUAAGUAGUACCUAUUAAUUACAAAAACCCUACUUAACUUAUUGUUAAUCAAACAUAUGGAUAUGAAAGAAAGAUUAAAAAAUUAAGAAGGAACUCGGCAAACACAAGUCCCGCCUGUUUACCAAAAACAUCGCCUUUUGAAAAGUAUAAAAGGUAACGCCUGCCCACUGACAGUAUGUUUAACGGCCGCGGUAUUCUGACCGUGCGAAGGUAGCGUAAUCACUUGUCUUUUAAAUGAAGACUCGUAUGAAAGGCAUCACGAGAACUUAGCUGUCUCCUUAAUUCAAUCAGUGAAACUGAUACCCCUGUAAAAAAGCAGGGAUGAUUACAUAAGACGAGAAGACCCUGUGGAGCUUAAAACAUAAGCUACUUCUAUACUCUACUAACUUAUAGUACUAAAAUACAAACCUAGCCUAAGUUUUCUGUUGGGGCGGCUGUGGAGAAAAACUUAUCCUCCAUGAAGAAAAAACUUUGAUCUACCGCUCUUAGUAUUAGCAAGCCUAACUUAAAUUGAUCCAAUUUUUGAUCAACGGACCAAGUUACCCCAGGGAUAACAGCGCAAUCCAUUUCAAGAGUCCCUAUCGACAAAUGGGUUUACGACCUCGAUGUUGGAUUAGGACAUCCUAGUGGUGUAGCCGCUACUAAUGGUCGUU
Molecule: ribosomal RNA, 1008 nt
Filed under: Leptobrachium hendricksoni (spotted litter frog)
Lineage: Eukaryota; Metazoa; Chordata; Amphibia; Anura; Megophryidae
Description: partial 16S ribosomal RNA
Rfam family: Bacterial large subunit ribosomal RNA
Source: RNAcentral